This 345-nucleotide ribosomal RNA is filed under the name Ibla quadrivalvis. RNAcentral describes it as "partial 12S ribosomal RNA". Lineage: Eukaryota; Metazoa; Arthropoda; Thecostraca; Iblomorpha; Iblidae. The record is from RNAcentral.
UGUUACUCAACGAAUAAAAACUUUGAAUAGUAUAAAUUAAGAAAUUUAAUGGAUUUGGCGGCGAAAAAGACCAUUCAGAGGAACUUGUCACAUAAACGAUAGUCCCCGAAUACUUUACCUGGAUUAGAUAUCAGCUUGUAUACCGUUGUUGUCAGAUAACACUAAUAAGAUGUUUUCAAAAUUAGUAAUACUUAAGAACUUCAAAUAAAGGUGCAGUUCAUAUCCAGGAGUAGAUGAGUUACUAUAAAAGGAAUUUUGAAUAAAGGAGUUCGAAUGAGCCUUUUGAAAUUGGAUUUGUUUGUAAAAAUAAUAAAAGAGCUAUUUUGAAAAGAGCACUAUUUCGUG